Molecule: ribosomal RNA, 264 nt
Filed under: uncultured archaeon
Lineage: Archaea
Description: partial 16S ribosomal RNA
Rfam family: Archaeal small subunit ribosomal RNA
Source: RNAcentral
AGUCACUGACAUUAGAUACCCGCGUAGUCCAGGGUGUAAACGCUGCGGGCUUGGUGUUGGGGGUCCUUUGAGGGCGCCCAGUGCCGGAGAGAAGUUGUUAAGCCUGCUGCUUGGGGAGUACGUCCGCAAGGAUGAAACUUAAAGGAAUUGGCGGGGAGCACCGCAACGGGAGGAGCGUGCGGUUCAAUUGGAUUCAACGCCGGACAACUCACCAGGAGCGACGGUUACAUGAAGGCCAGGCUGAUGACCUUGCCUGAUUUUCCG